CAGCCGUAAACAAUGUGCGUUAGGUGUGUCGGUAACCACGCGUUACUGAUGCGCCGAAGAGAAAUCGUGAAACGCACCACCUGGGAAGUACGGUCGCAAGGCUGAAACUUAAAGGAAUUGGCGGGGGUGCACCACAACAGGUGGAGCCUGCGGUUUAAUUGGAUUCAACGCCGGACAUCUCACCGGAUAAGACAGCUGAAUGAUUGUCAAUCUGAAGGUUUUACAUGACUAGCUGAGAGGAGGUGCAUGGCGUCAGUGACU
RNAcentral lists this ribosomal RNA (261 nucleotides) under uncultured archaeon. RNAcentral describes it as "partial 16S ribosomal RNA". It matches the Rfam family "Archaeal small subunit ribosomal RNA", at positions 748 to 1008 of the family's 1478-position model. The record is from RNAcentral.